Molecule: transfer RNA, 75 nt
Filed under: Plesiops nakaharae
Lineage: Eukaryota; Metazoa; Chordata; Actinopteri; Plesiopidae
Description: tRNA-Lys
Rfam family: tRNA
About the family: Transfer RNA (tRNA) molecules are approximately 80 nucleotides in length. Their secondary structure includes four short double-helical elements and three loops (D, anti-codon, and T loops).
Source: RNAcentral
CACUAAGAAGCUUAAUAAGGUACAAGCGCUAGCCUUUUAAGCUAGAGACUGGUGACCCCUACCCACCCUUAGUGA